AUUGAACGCUAGCGGGAUGCCUUACACAUGCAAGUCGAACGGAGUGGCGAACGGGUGAGUAAUGUAUCGGAACGUGCCCAGUAGUGGGGGAUAACGUCCGGAAAAGGGCGCUAAUACCGCAUACUAUCAGAUGAGACUAGGUCGGAUUAGCAAGUUGGGGGGGUAAAGGCCUACCAAGGCGACGAUCCGUAACUGGUCUGAGAGGAUGAUCAGUCACACUGGAACUGAGACACGGUCCAGACUCCUACGGGAGGCAGCAGUGGGGAAUAUUGGACAAUGGGCGAAAGCCUGAUCCAGCCAUGCCGCGUGUGUGAAGAAGGUCUUCGGAUUGUAAAGCACUUUAAGUUGGGAGGCGUUACCAACAGAAUAAGCACCGGCUAACUGCGUGCCAGCAGCCGCGGUAAUAC
This 407-nucleotide ribosomal RNA is filed under the name uncultured bacterium. RNAcentral's name for it is "partial 16S ribosomal RNA". It matches the Rfam family "Bacterial small subunit ribosomal RNA", at positions 30 to 526 of the family's 1533-position model. The record is from RNAcentral.